This 2140-nucleotide unclassified non-coding RNA is filed under the name Hevea brasiliensis (rubber tree). Lineage: Eukaryota; Viridiplantae; Streptophyta; Magnoliopsida; Malpighiales; Euphorbiaceae. The record is from RNAcentral.
GUAAGUACCAUAGCUUACAAUAUUAAUUCAAUUCCUCCAAAAAGUAUACACAAUUAAUCGCCAUAAAUUCUCCACUUCUAUUGUCUACGAAAUGCGUUCAUAUGCUCUUGCAGUUAAAGGCAGUGAAAAAUGGUCUAAUGCUACUUGCGAUCUGAGAGUUAUAUCAGUCCAGAAAUCAUCCCAUGCAUCAGUUUCAAGAUUGCAGACAAAAGGUUUCGUCAUUUGUUUAGCAGAUAAGUGAAAAUCUAAAAACACUUCCACAGACGAAAAAAAAGGGCAAUAAGAACAUCAAGCAAUUGAUUUGAAGAUGGCGUGCGGUUGGUUUUAUCUACACUGGGGGAUAAGUGCCUCCACAUCUCUUGAUUCGAGUGCUCCAUCUUCCAGGUACUUGAUCUGCAUGAGUUUAUAUUGACUCUUUCUGUGACUCAUUCUAAGAACUCCCAAAAUUUUCCCUGUCAACCUCAUGUUUGUGUUCGUCACCUUUCUCCGACAGAAAUUCUGUGGUGAAGCAUUUAACUCAUGUUUAUGCUCAUCACCUUUUGUCUGAACUUUAUGCCUGAGAUCCUUUUUUUUAAGGCUCAAGGUGUGGGCAACAGUUCUUCUAAGCUUUGUUCCAAGGUAGUGGGAAAGACUUACUGAACUGAGUUCAUAAUAUCAUGUGGGAGUCGGUUAGUUUAGUGCUUAUGAUCCGAAUGAUUCUUUACUCUUUAUCCAAAUAUUUUUUUAUUGUCGUGUUUAUGCUAAUUUUGCUACUCUUGUAACAAACAAAUAAAUGAUUGCUAAGUACUAGGAGUGUUGUACACAAAGUUUAAAAUACGUCAUACCUUCAAUAGAGUGGACUAUUUAUUUAUUUUGAAAUAAUUAACAUUAAGUGAGAUUCGAAUUCAAGAUUUUAUAAUCUGUACAUGACUUUUAAGUAUUAUUGAGUUAAACUUCAUUCCCAGUUAUUUAUUUGAUGUUAUAGUCUCUGCAAAUAAAUUUUCCAUAUUUAGGAGCUCAAUGCCCACAUGUUAUAUUUCAUCCAAAUAAUCUUUUCAGCGUCACUAGUAGACUAGUAGUCUAGUACUGUGAUUACAAUUUCAGCAUUCGUAAAUUUCUUCCAUUAUGUCAAGCCAUUUGAAUUCCUUUGUAUCAUUGUAUGACAUUCUAGCAAAUUAUUUCUCAACUAUCAUUUAUAAUGAGAUGAAAGAAAAUACUUAAAAUAGUGUUCCAUUUCACAUUAUCUUAAAGGAAAAUGACUCAGUAAGCCGGUACUCAGGAGCUUAAUAAAUGCGCAUCCUGUAUUGCACAGGAUGCCUAACUGACACAACGAGUUACAGGCAUAACCUGCAUGACCCUUGCCUUGUCACUUACCUUUUAUUGAACUAUAGAAGCAACUUCAACUAGUUCCAGUGUUAUACUGCCAUUCAUGCCAGAAUUGUUAACCCAGCAGUAACCUAAUUAAUAUUUCCAUGUGUCUGUCCUUGCCGAUGGUAGAGGUGAUUCCUAAAUUGACAAUACGUAAGUUGUAAAGGGUAUCUAAAGUCAAACCAAAAAGUUGCAGUAAUGCUAAUGCACACCAAGUACAGACAUGCCAAUCCCAUUGUUAUAAUUGCUGUAGUAACAAACAUCACAUUGUUAAUUUAAUUUAGUAAAAAUUGAUGGAUUAAUUAAGGUUAAGCAAAUGAUAUAGGAAGUGUAGAAUGUAGAUUAAUUUAUUGUUGUGACCAAUGAGAGGUUAACAAAGGCAGGGAGGCAGCUUUUGCUUUAUAAAUACAGAGAAAGGGAGGACUCUGUUCUUCCACUGCGGCUUGCAGGGUUGGUUGUUGGUUGGUUUGGGUUGUUUUACUUUGUGCAGGCCAAAAUGGUUCUCUCCCUUUCCCAUUUCACACUUGUACUGCUCUUUUCUUGUUUUGCUUCUUCUUUGCUUCUCUGCCAUGGCUUUCCUGCCCUCCCCCAACACCAUCACCGCUCUCGUUCUGCCAGUCACAACUACAGAGAUGCUCUCACCAAAUCAAUCCUCUUCUUUGAGGGCCAGAGGUCAGGCAAGCUUCCUUCUAACCAGAGGAUCACUUGGAGGAGAGAUUCGGGUCUCUCAGAUGGAGCAGCCAUGCAUGUGGAUUUAGUAGGAGGGUAUUAUGAUGCAGGGGACAAUGUGAAA